This 26-nucleotide non-coding RNA is filed under the name Homo sapiens (human). Lineage: Eukaryota; Metazoa; Chordata; Mammalia; Primates; Hominidae. The record is from RNAcentral.
UAAAGCCCAGGGCACUAUUUGGUGAU